GAAUUGGUGGUCUAGUGGUUAAGACUCGGCGCUUUCGCCUCUGUUGUCCGGGUUCGAUUUCCAGUUAAGGAAUCCAGUUUU
This is a non-coding RNA of Ataeniobius toweri, 81 nucleotides long. NCBI's taxonomy places the organism in Eukaryota, Metazoa, Chordata, Actinopteri, Cyprinodontiformes, Goodeidae. The record is from the annotation of a GenBank genome assembly.